Molecule: long non-coding RNA, 1181 nt
Filed under: Junco hyemalis (dark-eyed junco)
Lineage: Eukaryota; Metazoa; Chordata; Aves; Passeriformes; Passerellidae
Description: lncRNA (ENSJHYG00000003028.1)
Source: RNAcentral
ACUGUGGUAGUAGGGUGUGGUAGAGGGGACUGCAGAGGGGCAGAGCGCAGGAAGGGCUAUGAGGGGAUGGGCAGGGGGUGGCAGACGGAACAAGAGGCUGACAAAAGGAUGGAGGGGAACAAAGGGGACCCCAGAAGGGCACUGUGGCCACCCCAGGAGUUCGUAAGUGCUACGAGGUCCCUGACACUUCCCCUGUCUCCUCCUCAGCUUUUCCCAGCCCUGAUGCAGCCACAGGUCAUUGUCGUGGCCAUCCUGGGUGAGCUGCUGGCCACCCUGCCCAGGCGGGACGGAGAGGCACCCAUGUCCCUACAGUGUCUGCGCUGGGACCUGGAGGAAUACUCCAGGGAUCUCCGGGCCACCCUGCACUGCACUGAUGACACCAUGUGGCGCAACAUUGUAACCUCCGAUGAUGAUGGCCCUGUCACCUCCCUUAGCCAGGCCCUGGCCGCCUUCAGGAGCACCCCAUGGACCCCCCAGAACCGUGUGACAAUGGCAGCCAGCAAGUGGCAGGAGGCGGUUUCUGUGCUUGUGGACAGCUGGGCCAAACUAUCCAGGAAGGCCACCCAGCUCCGCAAUACCUGGAGGGAGGUGGCUGCCGAGGCGGCCGACAUGGUGGCCACCGCCACUGCCCAGGCCAGGGAGCUGCAGGACGAGGCUGCCCGUUAUGGCACAGCUCAGGAAAACAUGGUGGAGCUGGGUCAGGCCCUGGGCAGGGAGGAGGGGGCCGAGGUGGUGGUCAGGCAUGGAGCCCAGGUGAGGAGAGAGGCCAGGGUGGCUGCCAGCAAGGCAACAAGGGCCACCAUGGUGAGACAGCGGGUGGAGGUGGCCCUGGGGCUGCUGGAGCGCUUGGUGGCCACGUGCGACGCAGCCGCCACGUUCCCCCGGGAGCUGCAGUGCAGGGUUGGGGACAUCGAGGCCACCCUGAAGGGGACAAAUGUGGCAUCCCCCGAUGUCCCCGAGGACUUGGUGGUCAAGGUGGCCGUGGCUGAGUGGCUGUGGGAGGCCAACGCCCGCCUGGUCAAGGAUCACCUGGAGGGGACACUUAAUGACAUCAAUGCGUUCUAUUACGGUUAUGGUCCCAACAGCCCCCAUUGCCGCGGGGUGGCUGAGCGGUGCCAAAGAGUCAUCAAGGACAUCCCAAGGCUCCUUCGACCCCUGGAGUGUCCCCAGAGUGUCCCCAG